RNAcentral lists this long non-coding RNA (5334 nucleotides) under Sus scrofa (pig). RNAcentral's name for it is "lncRNA (ENSSSCG00000052647.1)". Lineage: Eukaryota; Metazoa; Chordata; Mammalia; Artiodactyla; Suidae. The record is from RNAcentral.
AUUUCUUUGGGCCGCUCCCACGGCAUAUGGAGGUUCCCAGGCUAGGGGUCAAAUCGGAGCUAUAGUCUCCAGCCUACGCCAGAGCCACAGCAACGCGGGAUCCAAGCCGCGUCUGCAACCUACACCACAGCUCACGACAACGCCCGAUCCUUAACCCACUGAGCAAGGGCAGGGACCGAACCGGCAACCUCAUGGUUCCUAGUCGGAUUCGUUAACCACUGCGCCACGACGGGAACUCCCGAUUAUCCUUAAUUUUUCACUUAUUCCUCUAUCUACCAUGUUAAUUCUUCUUUUAAAAAACAAAACAUUAGAAUAUCAGCACCCAGUUGAAAUACUGUCACAGGACAUACACAACCAAACACACGUGAAGUGAAAACUUCAAGCAGCCGAGAAAUGACAAGUGACACCUAUGAUGCAACAGAAUCUUCUGUGCAAAUCAAUUACACUUUGCGCAUUCAGGCUCUGCUUCCCAUGAAAUUUUAUACUCCCUGACACACUGGCUUUCUCACCCCCUCACACACUGCUCCUCUCUCGCCUCAGUGACUAACAGCACCUCGUGGCUGGCAAAGUUGAAUUCAACCUGUCGUCAAAAGACAUUCUCAGGUUCAAGCACUGUGGGAACACUGUGAGACCGAGUUCUGAUAAGGCUGUCUCCCAGAAAACCUGGAGGCGCAACGGAGAACCGAGCCCCGACCCAGUCCACAUCAGAAGAUCUUCUCAACGCGGCUGCACCUCGGGGCCACCCAGGGAGCUAUGACACGUGCUGGAGUUCUGGAUCAGCACGGCACCCCGAGUUGAGAACCACUCAUCCAAGCCAUUUUAAUCUCUGAAGUUCUAGACUCCACGUGCUCAUUCCCCACAGGUGCUGGGGGCUCUCUAUGCUCACCCUGUUCCUUUUCUUACAGAAACCCUACCCAGAGCCACCGGAGAGAAUGCUCGCCCUGGGUGACAGCAGCUGUGGGAGCCUGGCUGCAGUUAAGUGGAGGGUCACACGGCGAGUGUAGACACAGGCAUGAGGGGGGACUUGGAGAGAGAGCAGCUCUGCUCCUUGGAAACCCUGGGGACACUGGGCUGACGGGCCCAUAGUUUGGGCCUGUGAAACAGAGGGAACAGAAUAACCCCUAACACUGCGGUGUGACCAACUCUUACACAGCAAUGAUUAUAUGCCAGGCAGCACCUGAAAUACUUUGUAAAUUAUCGCUCCCAUUUUCACAUGUGAGGAAACUGAAACACAAAAAGGCAAAGAAACAAACUUGCCUUAGGUCACAUCUUGGCAGAGCUGAAUUCAAACCCAAACAUUUGUGGAUCCAGGGUCAGCCUGAGAAGCUCCCAGCAUUAGCAUUAGGAAUACAGGCCAAUUAGGAAAGCCUGCAGACCUGUCCCCAAGCAUUGGUGCCAGUACUAGUACCCUGGGGGUCAGGUCAUUGGGCGCAACUCCAUGAGCUAAUACGACUUGGUCUUACUUAAUAUUCCAGUUGCUCCUUUAGGAUGAAUUCUGUAUCUGUGUGCACAAUAUCUCACAAGCAUGCCCACACAGACCUCGUGCCUUAGGUCUCAUAAAAUGCUGAGUUCCUCCCUGCUGCCUGCCUGCUGAGACCACCAGGACUGCCACGCCGAUUAGUAGAAGGUCCCACUUACUAAGACGUGUUAGAUGUGUUUAUCUCUAAGAGGAAAAGAGUCAAUGACAUGCCACAUUCAGUAAAAGAAAUAAUCACUUCCUAUAAAGCAGUUGGUUCAUUUGCUCACCUAACACAUACUUAUGAAGUGCCUACUUACAGGAUCGGUUCCUGCCAUCCAAGAACUUACUUAUAAGCUAAUGAAGGAAACAAACAAGUUUGGGGUAAGGUCAGGGCGAUACAAGGCAAUGUCCAUACAAAGACCCUAUGGGUUAAGACAGAAAAAAUACAGAAUACGUUGGAGAAAUCGGAAGGGAUUCUUGGAAUUAGAUAUCUAAGUUGUAACCUCAAGAAUGAUAAUGUCACAGGGUCAGGAGUAAUGAUUAGUUCAAUUUGGAGGCAUGCUGAGUUUGAAACUCUGAUGGACAGGGAAGUCAAUAACCAGCCUGCUAUGUGCAUCUGAAGCUCAGAAGAAAAUGUGGCCAGAAAAAAGUAACUGGAGAACACCAAUUUAUGGAUGAUACUUUGAGUUACAUAAGUAUAUGAGAUGGCUGAGAAUGGUGCAGAAAGAGAAAAGACAAUAUUCCAAGAAUUGCCAGCAUUUCAUGCCUGGUGAGAGAAAAUGAAAUCAGAUAAGAAAGGGAGAGCCAAAAGGAAAUGAAGAAAAGUAGGAAAUUAAGGGUGUCAAAAGGGGGCAGGGGCAGUAUUUCAGGAAGUCAAGUGUGAAAUGCCAACAGCAAUCACGUGUGAUUAGUGCUGAGACAGUCUACAGGUUUAAACGGUAGGGAAGCCAUGAGCAACCCUGAAAAACGCUACUACAGGAGAGCUCCUAGGUAAAAGCAAGAAUGAAAUAAGUUGAGAAUUAAGUGAUAGAGGUCCAAAUAGGGCUGUGUAAUACAAGGGGAGAUAAAAGUUAUUUAUUUAAAUGCUAACUGGAAGACACCAGCACUGCAGGAGAAACGAUAUAUAGGAGAAAGGGAGAAAUCAUCGAUUCAAUAAAAUAUUCAGCAACUAUCUUUUGAGCACUUACUAUGUAUCAUGCUUUGUUCCAGACUCAGGGAUACAGGAGAAAGUCUCUGCUUUAAUCAAGGUGACAGUAUUAUAAGUUAAACAACAACAGUAAUAAUAAAGGGACUGCUAAAUAAUGUGAAAUAACUAGCACUGCACGAGUCUCCCGGAGUAAAACAAGAAAAAAACAAAACAGAAAACAGAACAAAAUAUGAGAAGUGACCAUUUUCUGUCACUAGACUGUAAAGCUGAGAAAAAGAAACAAAAGAGGUGAGGCCUCCAGUCACUUUAGGCUACUGCCUGGAGCCAGUUACUGGACCACAGCAUGUGGAACCAAGGACAGAUGACGGUUGUGUCAGCUGAGGAGACAAAGAUCAGAGGAGUGUUUGGGGCAGAAUACUAAAAAAGGAUUUUACAGAGAAAAAAGUUGGUAAAUCUGCCAGGGAGCCCCUUUACUCUUUCUUUGAAUGUUCAACUAUGCAUGUGUAGCGUGAGGUUAGAAAAGACAAGGCAAAAACCAAAAACAACUUGAAGUUCCCAUCGUGGCUCGGUGAAAUGAACCCGACUAGUAUCCUGAAGACGUGCGUUUGAUCCCUGGCCUUGCUCAGUAGAUUAAGGAUCUGGCGUUGCAGUGAGCUGUGCUGUAGGUUGCAGGCAAGGCUUUGAUCUGGUGUUGCUGUGGCUGUGGUAUAGGUCAGAAGCUAUACCUCCAAUUUUACCCUUAGCCUGGGAAGUUCCAUAUGCCACGGGUGUGGCCCUAAAAACGACAAAAACAAAAAAAAAAAACUUAGAGAGAUGCUGGAUAAUCACUGGAUUGCACACAGCAUUGGAAGACCUCAGAGUUCCACCAGAACCUCCUAUAACACCAGGGACAUUAAAUAGAGACCUUUGAAGACCAUGAAUUAGAAUUAGGGCUAAAACACUGCUAAGUAAAGACUGCUGUUCACUCACCAAUCAAAACUCAAAGGCCAGACUUGAAGAGGUCAAGCUGAUACACAUGUAAUAUAUCUUGCCACCAGAAUAAAAAAGAAUGUUUUUAAAAGAAAAUGUAACUUAACCACAUGAAUACUACUCAGCCAUAAAAAAGAACAAAAUAAUGCCAUUUGCAGCAAAUAAAUGGAACUUGAAGUCUCAUACUAAGUAGCAAAGUAAGUCAGAAGGAGAAAGACAAAUACCAUUUGAUCACACUUAUAUCUGGAAUCUAUAUACAGCACAAAUGAACCUUUCCACAGAAAAGAAACUCAUGGAUUUGGACAAAAGAUGUGUGGUUGCCAAGGGGGAAGGUUGGGAAAGACAGGGACUCAGGUUAAUAGAUGCAGACUAUUGCAUCUGGAAUGGAUAAGCAAUGAGAGCCUGCUGUAUAGCACUGGGAACUGUAUCUAGUUCCUUGUGAUGAGGAUAAUGUGAGAAAAAGAAUGUGGACUGGGUACUUUGUUGCAUACUAGAAAACUGACAGAACACUGUAAAACAGCUAUAACGGAAAAAAUAAAAAUCUUUAAAAAAAACCAGCACAAACAGAUUCAGCAAUGUUAGAGAUGAUGAAAUAAACAAGGACUUCAAAUGAACUCAAAUAUAAUGUAUUUGAGGAUUAUAGAUGAAAGAAUAAAGAAUAUAGAUGAAAAUACAGGGGAAUAUUUACAGUUGAAAAAUACAACACCUGAAUUGAAAAGUGUGCAUUAAGAACACGUAAGUAUAGGUGAAGAAAAGAAGUGGAUCUGAAGAUAGGGCAUUCACCAGUAGACACGGGGAGAUAAAGAGCCUGGAAAGAGUCUCAGUAACCAGGGAAAUAAUCAAGCAAUAUACUCUGUGUAUCAUUGGAGUCUUUAAAGAAGAUGAACUACUUAAAGAUUUACUUUUGGCAAAUUAGUUAAAAACAUAAAGGCCUAUAAACUCCAAACAGAAUAAAAACCAAGAAAAUACACCAUGGCAUAUCACAAUUAAAUUCCUGAAAAUCAGUGACAAACAGAAACUCUUACAAAGCAGCCAGAGGGAAAAGAAUAGAAAAUAAGAGUUACUACUGACUUUUCAUAAGAGACAGUGCAAGUCAGAAGACAAUGGAAGAACAUUCUUCUCUUUCAGAAAAAAAUAAAACCAACACCUUCGGAUUCUAAAUCCAAUGAAAAUGUCAUUCAAAAAUAGAACCAAAACUUAUGCAGCCAAAGAAAUGUUGAGAUAAUUUAUUUUCAAAACACCUGAACUGCAAGAAAACUUGAAAGAAAUUCUUCAGGUAACAGAAAAACGUUAUAAAACAAAUCUUGGAAUUUCAAAAAGGAAUAGAAAGCACUGUAAAUGGAAAAAAAAUGGGAGUAUUUAAAUUGAAAUUUUAUUUUAAUUUCUUUGAAUUAUAAUUGAGAGUUAAAAUAAAAAAAAUUGUAGAUCUUAUACAAAUGUAAAAAAAAAAUAUGUGAUGGUAAUAGCACAAAGAGCAGGAAGGGGGAGGUAAAGGUAUUUUACUUUGGUUUAUAUUCAGUUUAUUAUCCUUUACGUGAAGGAAUAUAAUAUGUAAAGACAGACAAUAAAUUAAAUAUGCGUAUUGUAAACCCUAGGAGAACCAGUAAAAAUUAAAGCGCUUUAGUUAAUAAAGAAAAGAGAAGACAACAGGUUAGACUUUAAAUUUCUGAAUCAGAGGAAGAAGGAAUUUUCUACUUUUUCUCAAAGCACAACCUAUAUUUUUUAAAGAUUACUCUAAUAGUCAAAAGUCUUACCGUAU